RNAcentral lists this long non-coding RNA (623 nucleotides) under Coturnix japonica (Japanese quail). RNAcentral's name for it is "lncRNA (ENSCJPG00005009568.1)". Lineage: Eukaryota; Metazoa; Chordata; Aves; Galliformes; Phasianidae. The record is from RNAcentral.
GGAAGUUGUUCAUGCUAAAUACUGUGCAGCAUCUUUAAAAGCUGCUGUGGCUGAGUGACUUCAAGGCCACAGUCCACUAAACUGGCAGCCACAGUCAGUUUUUUGCUUCUGCUCUUGGCACAUCUCAUACACAGCAUCAGUUAUUGAAUUUGCUUUUGUUUUUUCUUUCUUUUUCUUUUUUUUCUAGUUCUCCAGAUAUUGGUGCAUUGUUGUCCUGGAGGAUGCUCAAAGAGCAAGAUGUUUUUCUCACUUCAGCCAUGUGACACCAUGAAUAUGCAUUGGUGCACUCAAGCAUUUUCUGUUCUAUGAGAUCACUAAUCUGGUCACAGUGUACGCACUGAUUACAUGCUGCUAUAUGGGAGAGCAGUCUACUCUCUUCCCCUCUUGCUGCAGGUCAAGCUGCUUAUUAAAUGAGAGAACAUGGUCAUGAUGCCUUCUGAUAGUGGAAUGCAUGGAUUAAGAUGCUCAAGGGUAUGCAUUUCUGUGGUGUUUUUUUGUUUUUUUGUUUUUCCUUUGGUUCACUGUCAGUAUUUAUCUACAUUGAUCUUUUUUUAGUCUUUUUACAAUUUUUUCUAUGAAAUUUAACUCUUUCAGCUAUAGAUGAGAGUGGUGUUCAACACGAA